This 486-nucleotide ribosomal RNA is filed under the name uncultured bacterium. Its description in RNAcentral is "partial 16S ribosomal RNA". It matches the Rfam family "Bacterial small subunit ribosomal RNA", at positions 30 to 507 of the family's 1533-position model. The record is from RNAcentral.
AUUGAACGCUGGCGGCAUGCCUUACACAUGCAAGUCGAACGGCAGCACGGGUGCUUGCACCUGGUGGCGAGUGGCGAACGGGUGAGUAAUACAUCGGAACAUGUCCUGUAGUGGGGGAUAGCCCGGCGAAAGCCGGAUUAAUACCGCAUACGAUCCACGGAUGAAAGCGGGGGACCUUCGGGCCUCGCGCUAUCGGGUUGGCCGAUGGCUGAUUAGCUAGUUGGUGGGGUAAAGGCCUACCAAGGCGACGAUCAGUAGCUGGUCUGAGAGGACGACCAGCCACACUGGGACUGAGGCACGGCCCAGACUCCUACGGGAGGCAGCAGUGGGGAAUUUUGGACAAUGGGCGAAAGCCUGAUCCAGCAAUGCCGCGUGUGUGAAGAAGGCCUUCGGGUUGUAAAGCACUUUUGUCCGGAAAGAAAUCCUUGGCUCUAAUACAGUCGGGGGAUGACGGUACCGGAAGAAUAAGCACCGGCUAACUACGUG